GGUGCUGUGGCUCAGUGGUAGAGUGCUAGCCUUGAGCUAAAGAGCUGAGGGACAGCACCC
Molecule: transfer RNA, 60 nt
Filed under: Dipodomys ordii (Ord's kangaroo rat)
Lineage: Eukaryota; Metazoa; Chordata; Mammalia; Rodentia; Heteromyidae
Source: Rfam by way of RNAcentral